Molecule: ribosomal RNA, 1444 nt
Filed under: uncultured organism
Description: SSU rRNA
Rfam family: Bacterial small subunit ribosomal RNA
Source: RNAcentral
GGCGGCGUGCUUAACACAUGCAAGUCGAACGGAAAGGCCCUGCUUUUGUGGGGUGCUCGAGUGGCGAACGGGUGAGUAACACGUGAGUAACCUGCCCUUGACUUUGGGAUAACUUCAGGAAACUGGGGCUAAUACCGGAUAGGAGCUCCUGCUGCAUGGUGGGGGUUGGAAAGUUUCGGCGGUUGGGGAUGGACUCGCGGCUUAUCAGCUUGUUGGUGGGGUAGUGGCUUACCAAGGCUUUGACGGGUAGCCGGCCUGAGAGGGUGACCGGCCACAUUGGGACUGAGAUACGGCCCAGACUCCUACGGGAGGCAGCAGUGGGGAAUAUUGCGCAAUGGGCGGAAGCCUGAUGCAGCAACGCCGCGUGCGGGAUGACGGCCUUCGGGUUGUAAACCGCUUUCGCCUGUGACGAAGCGUGAGUGACGGUAAUGGGUAAAGAAGCACCGGCUAACUACGUGCCAGCAGCCGCGGUGAUACGUAGGGUGCGAGCGUUGUCCGGAUUUAUUGGGCGUAAAGGGCUCGUAGGUGGUUGAUCGCGUCGGAAGUGUAAUCUUGGGGCUUAACCCUGAGCGUGCUUUCGAUACGGGUUGACUUGAGGAAGGUAGGGGAGAAUGGAAUUCCUGGUGGAGCGGUGGAAUGCGCAGAUAUCAGGAGGAACACCAGUGGCGAAGGCGGUUCUCUGGGCCUUUCCUGACGCUGAGGAGCGAAAGCGUGGGGAGCGAACAGGCUUAGAUACCCUGGUAGUCCACGCUGUAAACGGUGGGUACUAGGUGUGGGGUCCAUUCCACGGGUUCCGUGCCGUAGCUAACGCUUUAAGUACCCCGCCUGGGGAGUACGGCCGCAAGGCUAAAACUCAAAGGAAUUGACGGGGCCCCGCACAAGCGGCGGAGCAUGCGGAUUAAUUCGAUGCAACGCGUAGAACCUUACCUGGGUUUGACAUGGAUCGGGAGCGCUCAGAGAUGGGUGUGCCUCUUUUGGGGUCGGUUCACAGGUGGUGCAUGGCUGUCGUCAGCUCGUGUCGUGAGAUGUUGGGUUAAGUCCCGCAACGAGCGCAACCCUUGUUCACUGUUGCCAGCACGUUAUGGUGGGGACUCAGUGGAGACCGCCGGGGUCAACUCGGAGGAAGGUGGGGAUGACGUCAAGUCAUCAUGCCCCUUAUGUCCAGGGCUUCACGCAUGCUACAAUGGCUGGUACAGAGAGUGGCGAGCCUGUGAGGGUGAGCGAAUCUCGGAAAGCCGGUCUCAGUUCGGAUUGGGGUCUGCAACUCGACCUCAUGAAGUCGGAGUCGCUAGUAAUCGCAGAUCAGCAACGCUGCGGUGAAUACGUUCCCGGGGCUUGUACACACCGCCCGUCAAGUCAUGAAAGUUGGUAACACCCGAAGCCGGUGGCCUAACCGUUGUGGGGGAGCCGUCGAAGGUGGGACUGGUGAUUAGGACUAAGUCAU